This is a long non-coding RNA of Daphnia magna, 473 nucleotides long. RefSeq lists it as uncharacterized. The transcript has 3 exons. NCBI's taxonomy places the organism in Eukaryota, Metazoa, Arthropoda, Branchiopoda, Diplostraca, Daphniidae. The record is from RefSeq and is a predicted model, not a curated record.
GACACCGAAUGAACUAAACGAUUUCGUAAGAGAUCGUAUAUAUCAUCUGAAGGCAUGCAACAAAACUAUUGCUAAUCUCUAGUUGCAUUUCCAUAGUCUAUUUUAAUUUUUGUUUUUUUCAUGUUUUCAGAACAUUUGAAAUUAUUUAUUUCUCUUAGUUUCUAGGAGGGACCACAAACAGAAAAGUUAAUAGGCCUAUUAAGGAUAUAUUGGAUGCAGUUGACGAAACACUAAAGAUUGAUGACACAGAAGCUCACAUGGCAGUGUCGAACAGAUUGAGCACAGCUCGAUUAAUGUGUCAUACACAGCAAGGAGUGACAUCCACAGGUUCAAUUGAAGUGCUUGAAGGUGAAGGGAAUGCCAUGGCUCAUAUUCAAGUUAUGAAAGCACCAAUUUGAAGAUGUCCUUUGCUUAUCGCUCAUCAUGCCAUGCUGGAACGUCUUCUGUUUUCUGGUGGGCAGCCUGGCAGCUUC